GAUGAACGCUGGCGGCGUGCCUAAUACAUGCCAGUCGAGCGAACAGAUUAUGAGCUUGCUCCGCUGACGUUAGCGGCGGGCGGGUAAGGAACACGUGUAUAACCUACCUAUAAGACUUGGAUAACUUCGUGAAACCUGAGCUAAUACCGUAUAAUAUGUUGAACCGAAGGGUUCAAUAGUGAAAGACGGUUUUGCUGACACUUAUUGAUGGAUCCGCGCCUCAUUAUCUAGUUGGUAAAGUAACGGCAUUCCAAGGCAACGAAGCGUAAUCGACCUGCGAGGCUGAUGGGCCACCCGAGAACGGAAACACCGUCGUGAUUGAUACGGGAGGCCGCAGUAGGGAAUAUUCGGCAAUGAUCGAAAGCUUGACGGAGAUAAGCCGCGUGAGUGAUGAAGUUCUUCGGAUCGUAAAACUCUGUUAUUAGGGAGGAACAAAUGUGUAAGUAAAUCUGCACGUCUUGACGGUACCUAGCCAGAAAACCACGGCUAACUACGUG
Molecule: ribosomal RNA, 497 nt
Filed under: uncultured bacterium
Lineage: Bacteria
Description: partial 16S ribosomal RNA
Rfam family: Bacterial small subunit ribosomal RNA
Source: RNAcentral